UUUUUAUUAUUAUCAUUAAGUAUAAGUAAAAGUAAAAGUUAAAAAAAAAAAGACAAGCUAAUGCGGGAACUCCUGCAUUAGCGCGCGCCCCAAUACCCAGUCCCAAUGAGCCUCAAUUGCUCCCAAAUAUGUUAUUGGUUUAAAUUAAUAUUGGGCCCACACUCAAUACUAUGCAAUACCACACGCCAAACACACCAUUUGCGUAAAUUGAUAGUCUGAAUGGUGUAGUUUAAAGAGUCGUGACUCAUGAUCAAUACACAUUGUUAUCAUUUUUAUUUUUUUAAACAUAUGUUAUUCGAGCAUACACUGAGAAAAUUUGGGUAAAAACAAUGAUUGUGAAAUGUUAUCUCACUAUUAAAAAAUGAACGAAAAAAUAUAAGUUCUAACUUCUAUGGUUAAUACAAGUUAGUUUGGUAAGGUUAGAUUCUUAAUUUCAAUAUUAUUAUUGCUCGUCUUCAAAUCUUCCCUCCGACUUUUGAAAAUUUCAAGUUAUGUCAUUUUUUAUUUUAAAGAUAAGAGGAAAAUGAGGGAUUAAGGAUUUCAACUUUGUUUUUUUUUUCCAAUUUAUAUUUUUCUAUGACAAAGAAGACAAUUUCGAAAAAAAAUAAUAAUAAUUUGGACAUUUUUCGUCAUGGGGAUGGGGCUUCGAUUCCCAGCACCCCCUCCCCACUAAAAUCAGAAACUUAGUAUUCAUUCCUUAGUUUUGUGUGGGAUCCAUGCAUCUCAUUCUCAUUCUCAACUUCAAUUUAACAAAUAAACAAGUUUUUUAUUCCAAUUCCCAUUCCGAGAAUGUAAGCACACCAUAAUAAUAAUUUAAUUCAUUUCGAUUCUGAUUCUUACAAUUUAAGUAAUUUAUUUAUUUUAAUUCUCAUUUUUCAUUCUAAUUUUAACUUAUUCUUAUUUCAGUUUAGUAAACGCCUUGUUAAUGUAAAUUGUAAGGUGCCAAAUUGAUUUAGCCACUCCAAUUUUGACACAUGAGUCCAUCUUAAAUCUCAUUUAAAAAGGAAAUUGAAUCUACUCUCUCUUUAAUCGAAAUCCACAAAUGUUUAUUUAGUUGUAUGCGCACUGCGACGCAAUGUACCAUCGAAUGCCAAAGGAUUGAAGGAUAACGAAAUAGAUUUCCAAUAUUUAAUUGAUAUAUUUGUAUUAUCUUAAUUGACUACAAUUUAAUCUCAUCUUUUUAUCUACAAUUUAAUCUCAUCUUUUUGUCCUCUUAAUAUUUGAAAAUUUAAAAUGGUCAAAUCAUAUUUGUCCUUUUGAGAUAUACCAAAGGGCAAUUCCCUAAGUUAAGGAUACAGGUUUCAACAAUAAGUUAAUUAUAUGAUAAAAUCUUGAUAAAUUAAUGUUUAUAAAUUGAUACUUCAAUUAAAUACUAUGUUUUCUCAGUUUCGAUUUGGGGCCUAUUUACUAAUUAUAAUUUGAUUAAUUAAUUAAUAUUAACUUAAUUAAUAAUUUUUUUCUUGAUCUAAGGUAUUAAUUUGUUGAGAUUAUGCUAUAAAUUAACUAAAAUCGAACCGGGUAAUUUUUAAAAACCUCCCCUGAGGUUUGGGCUUGUUGCAAGUAGAUGGCGAUAAUUGAUUUAUUUGUAAAAAACCCCCUACCGUCAGUUAAGUUUAACAUUGACCGUUAGUUGACCGUGCAAAGACAAUAUUACCCUUAACAAUAGUUUAUAAACGAAAAUAACUAAAAAAAAAACCAAAAUUAUUAGCUAUUUUACACUUUUUAAAUUAUUGAUAUUUUCUUAAAGUUUCUAUAAAAAAGUUAAAA
This 1767-nucleotide long non-coding RNA is filed under the name Citrus x clementina. RNAcentral describes it as "Citrus clementina (C. clementina) long non-coding RNA (CCLE_LNC003410)". Lineage: Eukaryota; Viridiplantae; Streptophyta; Magnoliopsida; Sapindales; Rutaceae. The record is from RNAcentral.